CAAGCGUUACUNGGAAUCACUGGGCGUAAAGGACGCGUAGGCGGAUUAUCAAGUCUCUUGUGAAAUCUAACGGCUUAACCGUUAAACUGCUUGGGAAACUGAUAAUCUAGAGUAAGGGAGAGGCAGAUGGANUUCUUGGUGUAGGGGUAAAAUCCGUAGAGAUCAAGAAGAAUACCCAUUGCGAAAGCGAUCUGCUGGAACUUAACUGACGCUAAUGCGUGAAAGCGUGGGGAGCAAACAGGAUUAGAUACCCUGGUAGUCCACGCCCUAAACGAUGUAUACUAGUUGUUGCUUCGCUAGUCGAGGCAGUAAUGCACCUAACGGAUUAAGUAUACCGCCUGGGGAGUACGGUCGCAAGAUUAAAACUCAAAGGAAUAGACGGGGACCCGCACAAGCGGUGGAGCAUGUGGUUUAAUUCGAAGAUACGCGAAGAACCUUACCCGGACUUGAUAUCUAACAAAUCAUCCAGAGAUGGAAGAGUGUCUGCCUGCAGAAAUGUUAAGACAGGUGCUGCACGGCUGUCGUCAGCUCGUGUCGUGAGAUGUUGGGUUAAGUCCCGCAACGAGCGCAACCCACGUCAUUAGUUGCUAACGGUUCGGCCGAGCACUCUAAUGAGACUGCCUUCGCAAGGAGGAGGAAGGUGUGGACGACGUCAGGUCAUCAUGGCCCUUAUGUCCGGGGCGACACACGUGCUACAAUGGCGUAUACAAUGAGACGCAAUAUCGCGAGAUGGAGCAAAUCUAUAAAAUACGUCCCAGUUCGGAUUGGAGUCUGCAACUCGACUCCAUGAAGCCGGAAUCGCUAGUAAUCGUAGAUCAGCCAUGCUACGGUGAAUACGUUCCCGGGUCUUGUACUCACCGCCCGUCACACCAUGGGAGUUGAUUUCACUCGAAGCCCAAAUACCAAA
RNAcentral lists this ribosomal RNA (907 nucleotides) under uncultured bacterium. RNAcentral describes it as "bacterial SSU rRNA". It matches the Rfam family "Bacterial small subunit ribosomal RNA", at positions 535 to 1439 of the family's 1533-position model. The record is from RNAcentral.